UACGUAGGGUGCAAGCGUUAAUCGGAAUUACUGGGCGUAAAGCGUGCGCAGGCGGUUUUGUAAGUCUGACGUGAAAGCCCCGGGCUCAACCUGGGAAUUGCGAUGGAGACUGCAAGGCUUGAAUCUGGCAGAGGGGGGUAGAAUUCCACGUGUAGCAGUGAAAUGCGUAGAGAUGUGGAGGAACACCGAUGGCGAAGGCAGCCCCCUGGGUCAAGAUUGACGCUCAUGCACGAAAGCAUGGGGAGCAAACAGG
This 253-nucleotide ribosomal RNA is filed under the name uncultured bacterium. RNAcentral's name for it is "partial 16S ribosomal RNA". It matches the Rfam family "Bacterial small subunit ribosomal RNA", at positions 524 to 776 of the family's 1533-position model. The record is from RNAcentral.